UAAUAAAAGUGUAUGACAUCAAAGAAAAUAUCUGAAUUCUCAGAAUUACUGGGUUUUUGGAUUUUGUCCAUCGUCCGGUAAUCUAGAAAUUAAAAUCUACAUGUUACAAAUUUUCACGACUUUUAUGCUGCAAUCAUGAACAGUUAGGAAGUUUUCUUCUGGCGUGGGAGGCUGUUAACUGUAAUGUCGGUGAACAUUACCAAACCACACGGCAAUAUAUCCCCGAUCCGCGCAAUUUUUAAUAGUAAUGUAUAAUAUUUUAUUGUGAGAAACACGAAAACAGUAUAAACCGGUAUAAAAGUUCUUGUUUUGGAUGUAUAGUUUCUGAAAGUGUUCUGUCCGGAUGUGGAAAGCUACAUAAAGAUAUACUGGUGAAGCUUAUAUGUUCAAGGAUUGCAAAUUAAAAUGCCAUAGUAACCAAUAAAAUAUCUUGAGAAAAGUGAAUAAUGAAACUGGAGAUUUAUAACACUGUCAGUGAUUGAAAAUUUGGACUUGGUAAAUGGUGUGAAUGAGAAUUGAGAAGUGAGAUUACCCUAACCAAGAAAUAAACAAUUUGUGUUCAGUGCGGACAAACUUAAUACCGUUAAAAGGUUGGUUUCCCAUGACCCACAUGAUAGUUUGUCAUUUUAAGGUGGUAAAAUGAAAACACCAGGGCUAUUGCUAGCCGUGACUUGCAGGGGUGUUCGUUCCAUAGGGCGUGUCAAUUACAUGGCUAUGUUGAUAAAAUGGGAAGUAAAUUCAUGAGAUGGUUUAAGAAGCGUCUUCAGAAAACACUCAAUAGGAGAGGUUCCACAAACAUAUGGGAAACAAAUUGUGAGUUUUCCGUUGGUCCACAAGAAAAUGACUCUGUUACACACUUUCUAAAUAUGCAGCAAAAUGUAGAGAAUGAAGCAGUGGAAGAGCAAUCCAUAAAAGCAAAUAAGGGCGGUUUUGAUUUGGGUCAUUCAGAACAUACGUCUGCGUGCAAAGUUGUAUAUGCAGAUGAAUCUAGUAGAAAUGUGAACUAUAAUGAGACUACACAAGCAUUGGCUACAGAGUUGGAAAUACCCAGUAUCUCAAAUUCAUAUGCUUGUGCUAGUGUGAAUUAUGAUGUAUAUAGUGACACUUUAUCUUCUAAUCCAAAUACCUUACUAUGUACAGAUCCAGAUUUGGCAGUGGAACCCAGUGUGUACUCUGGAUUAACUGCAGAUGAAAUAGCCUUGAUAGAAAAUGAUGUUCAAAUACAUCUAAAUAAGUUUUGUCCAACUAUGUAUUAUGAUUUCUGCCUUAUAACUUGUGAUACAGAUUAUGAGGAAGCCACAAUUUUCAGGUCAGAAUUUUGCAGGAAAUACAACUUGACUGGUUGUAUGUUGUUUGAUGAUGACAUUGCAAAUCUUGGUGAAGAUAUCUUUGAACAGUAUGAAGCAAUGAUGAAACGGAGUACUAAGGUAUUUUUCUAUCACACUGAAAAUUACAAAAAGGACAGGGUUCUUCGCCGUGUACAAAAUGGUGCUGUCUACCAACAACUUUGGGAACAAAUGUGCAGAGACAAAGAUAAAUGUGUUCCUGUAUUUCCAAAUGGACAUCACAGAUUGGGGUUAGCUCUGUCAGGCAUAUCUGGAUUGGAUCCUACCCGUCCAGAGCAUAUGCACAGACGUGUACAAGCAACAUUUACUGACAGUAUACGUGAAGUUCGUGUGUUAAAAGAGGCAGAUGCUAAGAGGAGAAGAUGUGUCCUUUAUAAAGAACUGUGUGAAUACAUGGCUCAUUGUUUUAAAGAGAGAAAAUGCAAGGGUUUAAGUAUGAAACCUCAGUUAGCCUUAAAUAUUAAAGGUAUGAAGAAGGAAGAAGUUGAAAUGUCUACCUUUUCUGAUAUUGAAGCACCACAUUUAAAACAGAUGUUGACAUCUUUGUCUGUAGAGGAGGAAGCUAUGAAUAGAAUAAGUAUGCUUGUAUCUAAAAGUUAUGAAAACAGUCUUGCAUAUGAUGGUAUGCAUACCUUAACCAUUCAACCUGCUCAGAAUAAUAGUUCUAGUGGAAUCAGUAUAUCAGAAUCAUCAAAUAUUCAUGUAGGACCCCAUAUUGAAGUGAAUGUACAUGUUAGUAGGACUGGAGAAAGAGAUUCUCAUCUUAGCAUUGGUUCUGAUGACACUUGAGAAACAAAAUGAAUGUAAAUUCACAUAACAAUAUUUAAUGUAACAUAAUAACAUGGAAACUGCUUUCAGGUACUGGUUACAUUAUUUACCAGCAUCUGUGUAGUACCAGAGAAGCUCAAACAGACUUUGUCUCAUAUUUCUUUAACACGUCUAAAGAUAUUGGCAUCGUCUUUGGUCAGUUUAAAAUUAAAUUUCUUUUCUUUGUUUUUGAUGUAGUAAACAUAAGUAAAACAUGAAUUUUGCCAAGUUUGACAGUAGACAUUAUCUCAUAAUUUAAUGCUAAAAGCAUGAAGUUCACAGCAACCAUAUUAUAAAUGUGCACCAAAGAUUUAUGUUGAUUUGUGUCAAACGGUUAUUUGUUGUGUAGGUCACAUUAAAAAUCAAUGAAAUGGUUACUGACCAUCCCAGCAUGCCAAGCUGUGUGUGCAGUGUACAUGAAUGCUGCUAGCUGAUGUAAACUGAGAUCACAUUAUCCAUAUGUUAAAAUGAAAGCAUGACCAGUGAAAUAGGAAAAGUGUGCAAUUAUGAAUUAUGCCAAAAUCAAAGAUUCAUCAUUGUUACAAAGAUUAUUUUCAUGUUUUAAGAGUCAAAGAAAGAAGGAAUGUGUUAAUCACACAAGAAAUAAGCUUCUGGAGUGGCAUUUGAA
This is an RNA transcript of Cryptotermes secundus, 2781 nucleotides long. RefSeq lists it as uncharacterized. The record is from RefSeq and is a predicted model, not a curated record. The transcript has 2 exons. Lineage: Eukaryota; Metazoa; Arthropoda; Insecta; Blattodea; Kalotermitidae.